Long non-coding RNA from Vitis vinifera (wine grape), 1199 nucleotides. RefSeq lists it as uncharacterized. The transcript is spliced from 2 exons. NCBI's taxonomy places the organism in Eukaryota, Viridiplantae, Streptophyta, Magnoliopsida, Vitales, Vitaceae. The record is from RefSeq and is a predicted model, not a curated record.
UCUGCUUUUCCCUUAUAAAUGGCCACAAAGAGUCACAAUUGUUAGACAUUAAGAUUGGAAUGCCAUAAAAAAUCAGUUCCAGCAGAGCCAACAAUGCUAUUAAUUACAUUUGUCAGCAGUUUGAUUUUCAUGGAGACCAGGCGGGUAAUGCAGAUUUUCCAAAAAGUGUGCUCAGGCUUUGGAAUGAAUGGGAGGUCGUGCGACAGUUCUACUAAGCCUCUUCCUAUCCGAAGAAAGCACACAGUUAAACCCUGGAUCAGAAUCCUUGUUUGGUUUAAUACUCGUCAGCAGAUUGAGUGGCAGCUGUUUCACUGGGUACCCUCUCCAACAGCCAAGGAGAUUUAGGGGUAUCCUCUCCAACAGCCAAGGGGAUUUAGGCAUAAUUUGAUAAUUGCUUUCUAAAAGAGUUGUAAAAAAUAGUUUUUAAAAACUAUUUUUUAAUAUUUUUUAGAGCAAAAAUUUAUUCAAGAACUUGAAAUGUUUUUAAUUUAUUUUUAAUAUUUUUAAAUAUGUUUUAAAAAUAAAUUUUAUAUUUAAUGUUUUAUUUCUAAUCAUUUUACGUGUUCUUAUAUUUAUUUUUUAAAAGAGCUUUUAGAAAAUAAGUGAAAACAAUUAAUUUUUUUUUAUAUAUAUAAAACACUAUAUUUAUGUUUUUAAUAAUAGAAAAAAAAUUAUUUUCUGAUUAUCAAACGUGUUUUUAUGAAUUUUAUUUUUUUUUUAGAAUAGAAAACUGUUAUUGAAAAUAGUUGCCAAUAAGACCUUACCUUGUAAAUCUCUGGAUCUAAGCUAUAUGCUAAUGGUGUUAUGGACACCAUUCCUUAAUUCAGAGGCUCCUUACUUCCAUCUCCUAGAUAUCUUAAAUUCGUGCAAGAGUGAUUUUUUUUUUUUUUUUUUUUUUGAGAACAAAAAAUUGUUAUCGAAAAUAGUUGCGAAACAAAGCCUUACCUUAUAAAUCUCUAAAUUUAAUCUAUAUGUUUUGGGAACCAUUCCUUGCUUCAGGGGCUCCUUACUUCCAUGUCCUAAUUAUCUCAAAUUCAUGCAAGAAUAUAGGUAACUUAAAGUUCAAAAUCAAAGGGCGACAUUCCUCACCAUCUUAAAAUCUUUUAGAAUAAGUGCAAAGCUAUGUUUGGUAUGUGGAAAUAAAUAUUUUGUUUUCACUUCUAUUUUUUCUUGAAUAGGUAUGAAUUUGGUGAUUUUAA